RNAcentral lists this ribosomal RNA (469 nucleotides) under uncultured bacterium. RNAcentral describes it as "partial 16S ribosomal RNA". It matches the Rfam family "Bacterial small subunit ribosomal RNA", at positions 28 to 507 of the family's 1533-position model. The record is from RNAcentral.
GACGAACGCUGGCGGCGUGCUUAACACAUGCAAGUCGAACGGAAAGGCCCUGCUUGCCGGGUGCUCGAGUGGCGAACGGGUGAGUAACACGUGGGUGAUCUGCCCCUUACUUUGGGAUAAGCCCGGGAAACUGGGUCUAAUACUGGAUAGGACCAUGCUGUAGGUGGUGUGGUGGAAAGAUUAGUUUCGGUAAGGGAUGAGCUCGCGGCCUAUCAGCUUGUUGGUGGGGUAAUGGCCUACCAAGGCGUCGACGGGUAGCCGGCCUGAGAGGGUGGACGGCCACAUUGGGACUGAGAUACGGCCCAGACUCCUACGGGAGGCAGCAGUGGGGAAUAUUGCACAAUGGGCGCAAGCCUGAUGCAGCGACGCCGCGUGGGGGAUGACGGCCUUCGGGUUGUAAACUCCUUUCAGCCAUGACGAAGCCCUUGUGGUGACGGUAGUGGUAGAAGAAGCACCGGCUAACUACGUG